UCUGNUCUGUAACAGACGCUGAGGCUNGAAAGCGUGGGGAGCGAACAGGAUUAGAUACCCUGGUAGUCCACGCCGUAAACGAUGAGUGCUAGGUGUUAGGCCCUUUCCGGGGCUUAGUGCCGCAGCUAACGCAUUAAGCACUCCGCCUGGGGAGUACGACCGCAAGGUUGAAACUCAAAGGAAUUGACGGGGGCCCGCACAAGCGGUGGAGCAUGUGGUUUAAUUCGAAGCAACGCGAAGAACCUUACCAGGUCUUGACAUCCCGAUGCCCGCUCUAGAGAUAGAGUUUUACUUCGGUACAUCGGUGACAGGUGGUGCAUGGUUGUCGUCAGCUCGUGUCGUGAGAUGUUGGGUUAAGUCCCGCAACGAGCGCAACCCUUAUUGUUAGUUGCCAUCAUUCAGUUGGGCACUCUAGCGGGACUGCCGGUAAUAAACCGGAGGAAGGUGGGGAUGACGUCAAAUCAUCAUGCCCCUUAUGACCUGGGCUACACACGUGCUACAAUGGCUGGUACAACGAGUCGCAAGUCGGUGACGGCAAGCUAAUCUCUUAAAGCCAGUCUCAGUUCGGAUUGUAGGCUGCAACUCGCCUACAUGAAGUCGGAAUCGCUAGUAAUCGCGGAUCAGCACGCCGCGGUGAAUACGUUCCCGGGCCUUGUACACACCGCCCGUCACACCACGAGAGUUUGUAACACCCGAAGUCGGUGAGGUANCCUUUUAGGAGCCA
This 724-nucleotide ribosomal RNA is filed under the name uncultured bacterium. RNAcentral's name for it is "bacterial SSU rRNA". It matches the Rfam family "Bacterial small subunit ribosomal RNA", at positions 728 to 1451 of the family's 1533-position model. The record is from RNAcentral.